UUGGAGGGCAAGUCUGGUGCCAGCAGCCGCGGUAAUUCCAGCUCCAAUAGCGUAUAUUAAAGUUGUUGCAGUUAAAAAGCUCGUAGUUGAAUUUCGGGAUUAAUAUGCUGGUCGUGCCAUUGGUACGUACUAGUAUUAUUGAUUUCUCCCUUCUGAUAAAUCAUGAUGUCAUUAAUUUGAUGUCAUGGGGAAUCAGGACUGUUACUUUGAAAAAAUUAGAGUGUUUAAAGCAGGCUCGCGCUUGAAUACAUUAGCAUGGAAUAAUGAAAUAGGACGUUUGAUUCUAUUUUGUUGGUUUCUAGGAUUGACGUAAUGAUUAAUAGGGAUAGUUGGG
This 334-nucleotide ribosomal RNA is filed under the name Glomus sp. RNAcentral describes it as "SSU rRNA". It matches the Rfam family "Eukaryotic small subunit ribosomal RNA", at positions 548 to 886 of the family's 1831-position model. The record is from RNAcentral. Lineage: Eukaryota; Fungi; Glomeromycota; Glomeromycetes; Glomerales; Glomeraceae. RNAcentral also lists the same sequence under 1 other name.